GAUGAAGAACGUAGCGAAAUGCGAUAAGUAAUGUGAAUUGCAGAAUUCAGUGAAUCAUCGAAUCUUUGAACGCACCUUGCGCUCCUUGGCAUUCCGAGGAGCAUGCCUGUUUGAGUGUCAUUAAAUUCUCAAGACCUGUCUGCUUUUUUGAUAGGUAUUGGAUUUUGGGGGUUGCAGGCUGUUUCAAAUAAAUAGCCUUGCUCUCCUUGAAUGUAUUAGUGGAGAAAAGCCAUUGAACUCCAUUGGUGUGAUAAAACCUAUCAAUGCCAGGAGCAAUAUCACUACUUCUCUCUGCUGUCUAACUGUGACUGUCUGUAUUAAUUAGUAUGGAUGGGGACAUCUUGACCAACUUGACCUCAAAUCAGGUAGGACUACCCGCUGAACUUAAGCAUAUCAAUAAGCGGAGGA
RNAcentral lists this unclassified non-coding RNA (408 nucleotides) under soil metagenome. RNAcentral's name for it is "partial contains 5.8S ribosomal RNA, internal transcribed spacer 2, and large subunit ribosomal RNA". The stretch from base 1 to 120 matches the Rfam family "5.8S ribosomal RNA", at positions 35 to 154 of the family's 154-position model. The record is from RNAcentral.